This 353-nucleotide transfer-messenger RNA is filed under the name Deltaproteobacteria bacterium. It matches the Rfam family "transfer-messenger RNA". From Rfam's summary of the family: Bacterial tmRNA, also known as 10Sa RNA or SsrA, is named for its dual tRNA and mRNA-like properties. RNAcentral also lists the same sequence under 1 other name. The record is from RNAcentral. Lineage: Bacteria; Pseudomonadati; Myxococcota; Myxococcia.
GGGGGCGAACUUGGGUUCGACGGAGGUAAAGAAGCUUAGGUUGCAUACCGAGGUUCCAUCUGCUCGUAAAACAGGUGGGAGUAAACACAGACGCAGACGAUUAUGCGUAUGCUCUAGCCGCAUAAAGGCUAGCGCCCUCCCCGUCUUGCCUGCGUGACGGGAAAGGGUGCCGACUAGCAGGCUGGCCGACCCACUUCACCUGUAGGUAGGGAAGGCGAGACCGAUUACAGGUUAGCUUCGAAACUCCUUUGCCCGCUGAGGACUUCGGAGCGAACAUCUUGCAACGGGCUAAGUAUGUAGAAGCCUAAGUGGAAUAUUUUCGGACGGGGGUUCGACUCCCCCCGCCUCCACCA